This 492-nucleotide ribosomal RNA is filed under the name uncultured bacterium. RNAcentral describes it as "partial 16S ribosomal RNA". It matches the Rfam family "Bacterial small subunit ribosomal RNA", at positions 29 to 507 of the family's 1533-position model. The record is from RNAcentral.
AGUGAACGCUGGCGGUAGGCCUAACACAUGCAAGUCGAACGGCAGCACAGUAAGAGCUUGCUCUUACGGGUGGCGAGUGGCGGACGGGUGAGGCAUACAUCGGAAUCUACUUUUUCGCGGGGGAUAACGUAGGGAAACUUACGCUAAUACCGCAUACGACCUACGGGUGAAAGCAGGGGAUCUUCGGACCUUGCGCGAUUGAAUGAGCCGGUGUUGGAUUAGCUAGUUGGCGGGGUAAAGGCCCACCAAGGCGACGAUCAGUAGCUGGUCUGAGAGGAUGAUCAGCCACCCUGUAAGUGAGACAGGGUCGAGAGUCCUACGGGAGGCAGCAGUCGGGAAUAUUGGGCAAGGGGCGCAAGCCUGAUCCAGCCAUACCGCGUGGGUGAAGAAGGCGUUCUGGUGGUAGAGCCCUUUUGUUGGGAGAGAAGAGCAGCAGGUUAAUACGCCGCUGUUCUGACGGUACCUAAUGAAUAAGCACCGGCUAACUUCGUG